RNAcentral lists this ribosomal RNA (550 nucleotides) under uncultured Geobacteraceae bacterium. RNAcentral's name for it is "bacterial SSU rRNA". It matches the Rfam family "Bacterial small subunit ribosomal RNA", at positions 1 to 526 of the family's 1533-position model. Lineage: Bacteria; Pseudomonadati; Thermodesulfobacteriota; Desulfuromonadia; Geobacterales; Geobacteraceae. The record is from RNAcentral.
RKKCGCCCUUAGAGUUUGAUCCUGGCUCAGAACGAACGCUGGCGGCGUGCUUAACACAUGCAAGUCGAACGUGAUUCAGAGCUUGCUCUGAUGAAAGUGGCGCACGGGUGAGUAACGCGUGGAUAACCUGCCCUGGUAUCUGGGAUAACAUCUCGAGAGGGGUGCUAAUACCGGAUAAGCCUCCGGGAUCUUCGGAUUCUGCAGGAAAAGAAGGCCUCUAUUUAUAAGCUUUCGUAUCAGGAUGGGUCCGCGUACCAUUAGCUAGUUGGUGGGGUAAUGGCCUACCAAGGCGACGAUGGUUAGCUGGUCUGAGAGGAUGAUCAGCCACACUGGAACUGAGACACGGUCCAGACUCCUACGGGAGGCAGCAGUGGGGAAUUUUGCGCAAUGGGGGCAACCCUGAUCCAGCCAUGCCGCGUGAGUGAAGAAGGCCUUCGGGUUGUAAAGCUCUUUCGGCCGGGAAGAAAUCGCAUCAGCUAAUACCUGGUGUGGAUGACGGUACCGGAAUAAGAAGCACCGGCUAACUACGUGCCAGCAGCCGCGGUAAUAC